GUAGGUGGCAAGCGUUGUCCGGAAUUAUUGGGCGUAAAGCGCGCGCAGGGCGGUCCUUUAAGUCUGAUGUGAAAGCCCACGGCUCAACCGUGGAGGGUCAUUGGAAACUGGGGGACUUGAGUACAGAAGAGGAAAGCGGAAUUCCAAGUGUAGAGGUGAAAUGCGUAGAGAUUUGGAGGAACACCAGUGGCGAAGGCGGCUUUCUGGUCUGUAACUGACGCUGAGGCGCGAAAGCGUGGGGAGCAAACAGGAUUAGAUACCCUGGUAGUCCACGCCGUAAACGAUGAGUGCUAAGUGUUAGGGGGUUUCCGCCCCUUAGUGCUGCAGCUAACGCAUUAAGCACUCCGCCUGGGGAGUACGGCCGCAAGGCUG
Molecule: ribosomal RNA, 372 nt
Filed under: uncultured organism
Description: partial 16S ribosomal RNA
Rfam family: Bacterial small subunit ribosomal RNA
Source: RNAcentral